This 555-nucleotide ribosomal RNA is filed under the name uncultured Thelephoraceae. Its description in RNAcentral is "eukaryotic LSU rRNA". The stretch from base 168 to 322 matches the Rfam family "5.8S ribosomal RNA". The record is from RNAcentral. Lineage: Eukaryota; Fungi; Basidiomycota; Agaricomycetes; Thelephorales; Thelephoraceae.
GACACGUGCACGCUCUGUUUGCAGAUCCACUCACACCUGUGCACCCUCUGUAGUUCUGCAGCCUNNNGGGCUCUGUCCCCCUGCCGUGGUUCUAUGUAUUUUACUCAGACACACAUGUUGUAGUAAAGUCUCAUGGAAUGUAUACCGCGCUUAACGCAAUACAAUACAACUUUCAGCAACGGAUCUCUUGGCUCUCGCAUCGAUGAAGAACGCAGCGAAAUGCGAUAAGUAAUGUGAAUUGCAGAAUUCAGUGAAUCAUCGAAUCUUUGAACGCACCUUGCGCCCUUUGGCUAUUCCGAAGGGCAUGCCUGUUUGAGUAUCAUGAACACCUCAACUCUCAUGGCUUGCCAUGAUGAGCUUGGACUUUGGGGGUCUUGCUGGCCUGGGGUCGGCUCCUCUCAAAUGAAUUAGCUUGCCAGUGUUUGGUGGCAUCACAGGUGUGAUAACUAUCUACGCUUGUGGUUUUCCACCAGGUAACCUUCCGCGAUGAAGGUUCGCUGGGGCUCAUAAAUGUCUCUUAUCGGCGAGGACAGCUCNNUGAACGUUUGAUCUCAA